This 550-nucleotide long non-coding RNA is filed under the name Dasypus novemcinctus (nine-banded armadillo). Its description in RNAcentral is "lncRNA (ENSDNOG00000050780.1)". Lineage: Eukaryota; Metazoa; Chordata; Mammalia; Cingulata; Dasypodidae. The record is from RNAcentral.
AACAGAAAAUGAAACUGACCAGUUUAGUUUCUCCCUUUAAGGCAGCUCCGACGAUGUCAUCACUGGAGAGAAAACAGGUCCUGACAUCAUACAGAGUGCAAACAAGAAGGUCUCCUGAUGAUUCGCUUACCCGAGGUCUUCUGAGUCCAGUUGGAGAUGAGAAACAUCUGUCCUUCUUGUAGAAGUUCUUCCCAGAGUGGCUGAUUCUAGGAAGACAGCUGGCAUCCAAAGCCGACUCCAUUAAAGUUUAACUGAAAACUCAACUCCUGUAGUCAUUUCUUACAAGUGUUUGAAUCUCAGAGUUUUGUCCAGAAAGCAUAUGGGCCCCACAGAGGUCACAACCCUGCAAUAUCUUGGCCAUGUAUAUUCAUCUAGUACAUUCAACCACCAAACUGAAAUAUGAUAUUGUCUUUCCUGGGCAGAAUUAAGAGUAAGCUCUCUUAGGUUCAACUGACCCCUGCAAUCAGGAACAAGAAGACUGUAAUUGAAAUGUCACUCAAUGAACAUGCCAAGAAUAAUGAAAACUGAGAUGACUACCUUGCCUUGUGGU